GGAGAAUUUUGUGGAAGAAAAAACAAAAAGUAAAAUUUUGGGUCCAAUCUCUUCGUUUUCUUAGUAUAAGGUCGAUUUGGGUCUCUGGGUUUCUUUCAAAAUCAACAAAAAAGAAAGGUCCUUUGAGGUAUUUGCACAAAGAGAAUCCACAAAGCAAAAAGGGGAAGGGAAUUGAAAGGUUUUUGAAGAAGAAAUGGUUUUCAUGUGUGAGAUUUUCUUCACUGGAGGAAAAUUAGAAGGAGAGUGGGAGAAGGAGAGAUAACACAAGAAGAAGAAGAAGAAGAAGAAGAAGAUCCAAUUUUGGCUAAAAUUUCAUAAUAGAAGUGGAAAAAGGUGGGAUCUUUAAACAAAGAACAAGAACCCUGAGUUUUUUGUUUCAUCUGCUUAUCUACCGGGGUAAUUGGCAAUGUCUGCUACAAUAAUGAGUGAACCAAUGGUGGUAUCAGCCCCAACACAGGAAACUCAAGCAACACCAGCAAAACUCGUCUCACAAACCGAUGUCGAGUUCGCCAAAUGCGAUUGCUGUGGACUCACCGAGGUGUACCCCGGCCUAUAUCGAAACGGUAUGCCAACGGUAUCAAGGGAAAUGGAUAUGUGGCCUCUGUGCUGAAGCAAUCAAAGAUGAGAUCAUAAGGACUGAAAGGCUUAUCAGUACUGAGGAAGCAAUGGUUAGGCACAUGAACUUUUGCCAAAAAUUCGUCUCCUCCAGACCGCCUCCUGAUCCUACAGUUCAUCUCAUAUCUGCUAUGAGAAGUAUUCUUAGAAAAAGUUUGGAUCCCGCGAGAGGUUUAAGAUCGACCCCUCCGAUUAGUCCUACAGGAAAGGCCAUUCAAAUCCGAGUCCCGGGUUUACUCGGUCUGAAUGUUGUUUCACUGCCAUGUCUGGAUGAUAGAGGUAUAAGAGGUGAUGAAAAGGGAAUGCAGAGCAUGGAAUGAACAUUGGGUGGAACACAAGGGAAAAGAAAGAGUUGGGUUCAAAAUGA
Molecule: RNA transcript, 982 nt
Organism: Hibiscus syriacus
Lineage: Eukaryota; Viridiplantae; Streptophyta; Magnoliopsida; Malvales; Malvaceae
Exons: 4
Source: RefSeq, a predicted model, not a curated record